This 466-nucleotide ribosomal RNA is filed under the name uncultured bacterium. RNAcentral's name for it is "partial 16S ribosomal RNA". It matches the Rfam family "Bacterial small subunit ribosomal RNA", at positions 339 to 795 of the family's 1533-position model. The record is from RNAcentral.
CUACGGGUUGCUGCAGUGGGGAAUAUUGGACAAUGGGGGAAACCCUGAUCCAGCAAUGCCGCGUGUGUGAAGAAGGCCUGCGGGUUGUAAAGCACUUUCGGUUGGGAGGACUGCUUCUAGCACUAAUAUUGUUGGAAGUUGACGUUACCUUCAGAAGAAGCACCGGCUAACUCCGUGCCAGCAGCCGCGGGUAAUACGGAGGGUGCAAGCGUUAAUCGGAAUUACUGGGCGUAAAGCGCGCGUAGGCGGCUAGAUCAGUCGGGUGUGAAAGCCCCGGGCUUAACCUGGGAACUGCAUCCGAUACUGUCUAGCUUGAGUACAGGGGAGGAGAGUGGAAUUCCACAUGUAGCGGUGAAAUGCGUAGGUAUGUGGAGGAACACCAAUGGCGAAGGCAGCUCUCUGGCCUGAUACUGACGCUGAGGUGCGAAAGCGUGGGGAGCAAACAGGAUUAGAUACCCGUGUAGUC